GCGCUCUUAGCUCAGCUGGAAGAGCAAUUGGUUUACACCCAAUAGGUCGGCGGUUCGAGCCCGUCAGAGCGCACCA
Molecule: transfer RNA, 76 nt
Filed under: Corynebacterium sp.
Lineage: Bacteria; Bacillati; Actinomycetota; Actinomycetes; Mycobacteriales; Corynebacteriaceae
Also listed under: 2 other names
Description: tRNA-Val
Rfam family: tRNA
About the family: Transfer RNA (tRNA) molecules are approximately 80 nucleotides in length.
Source: RNAcentral